Molecule: ribosomal RNA, 431 nt
Filed under: uncultured bacterium
Lineage: Bacteria
Description: partial 16S ribosomal RNA
Rfam family: Bacterial small subunit ribosomal RNA
Source: RNAcentral
AACGAACGCUGGCGGCAGGCUUAACACAUGCAAGUCGAACGCCCCGCAAGGGGAGUGGCAGACGGGUGAGUAACGCGUGGGAACAUAACCUUUUCUGCGGAAUAGCUCCGGGAUACUGGUAUUAAUACCGCACACGCCCUACGGGGGAAAGAUUUAUCGGGGAAGGAUUGGCCCGCGUUGGAUUGGCUAGUUGGUGGGGUAAAGGCCUACCAAGGCGACGAUGCAUAGCUGGUCUGAGAGGAGGAUCAGCCACAUUGGGACUGAGACACGGCCCAAACUCCGACGGGAGGCAGCAGUGGGGAGUAUUAGACGAUGAGCGCAAGCCUGGUCCAGCCAUGCCGCGUAAGUGAUGAAGGCCUUAGGGUUGUAAAGCUCUUUCACCGAUGAAGAUAAUGACGGUAGUCGGAGAAGAAGCCCCGGCUAACUUCGUG